GUUGGCUUUGCAGGUCUCCCCACAUCGUAAAUCAGCACCGCUUCCCUCCGUGGCCAUGUGCUGGGCACCGCUGGAAGGGGAACCAGGGCCACUCCUGGCUCUCGGUGUGCUGCAAAGCGCUUUGUUGGGUCGGAGCAAACUGCUGUUCUCAUAACGAGGGGAUCUCGCGUUCAUUCUGCUGGCAGAGCUGCGGGGGAUGAUAGCAGGGAAGUGCUGCCGCUGCUGUUGGAAUGAUCUGAGCUAAUCCGAGGUGCAGCUCACAGCAUCUCCUGGAGGAGCCUGACCUGGUGACGAAGCCCUACAACACACUGUCGCUGGUCUGCAGCAGUUUUGAUCCCACCGUCAUACAGUGUUGCAUGGACGUGACCAAGGGCAGCUCUGUGGGAGGAAGCCAGGAGGAGAAACCUAAAGGAUCCCGUGCUCCUUGCACAGCAGUGCUGGCUGCUUUGUUCACCACCAGAAAGAAGGGAAACAGGUCAGUUCAACACCCCCAAACCUGGCAUUAGCAGUCAGUGCCCCACGUGGAGCCAUCAGGAUCAUCUCCAAAUGACGUGGCACGUCAGUCCUGCUGGAGCUAUGGCCAGGGCUGACGUUUUCCAUUACCAGAAGGGAGGGUGGGGAAAAGUAUUUUUAACAUGUAUUUAUAGACCUCACCGUGAUGCAGUUUUUCCCAAACUUCGGGUGAAGAACAAUGGACAAAGAGCUUUGUGUUAGGGCUGCUGGUUAGGAACAACAGGAGCACGGCUCCUGUGGGGAAGGAAAAGCUCCAUGCCUGCCUCGGGCUGCUCCACAACCAGCACUGGGACACGUUGGUCAGCAUCUUUGUCAGAGCUGUUGGAGCUGUGAGGCUCUUGGCGAUAGAGCAGACGUGGCAAC
Long non-coding RNA from Gallus gallus (chicken), 876 nucleotides. Lineage: Eukaryota; Metazoa; Chordata; Aves; Galliformes; Phasianidae. The record is from Ensembl.